RNAcentral lists this non-coding RNA (21 nucleotides) under Rattus norvegicus (Norway rat). The record is from RNAcentral. Lineage: Eukaryota; Metazoa; Chordata; Mammalia; Rodentia; Muridae.
GUUUUGGUGACUCCUCUUAUG